This 253-nucleotide ribosomal RNA is filed under the name uncultured bacterium. RNAcentral's name for it is "partial 16S ribosomal RNA". It matches the Rfam family "Bacterial small subunit ribosomal RNA", at positions 524 to 776 of the family's 1533-position model. The record is from RNAcentral.
UACGUAGGGGGCAAGCGUUGUCCGGAUUUAUUGGGCGUAAAGAGCGUGUAGGCGGCCAGGUAGGUCCGUUGUGAAAACUGGAGGCUUAACCUCCAGCUGUCGAUGGAAACCAUCUGGCUAGAGUCCGGAAGAGGAGAGUGGAAUUCCCGGUGUAGUGGUGAAAUGCGUAGAUAUCGGGAGGAACACCAGUGGCGAAGGCGACUACCUGGCCUGUUCUUGACGCUGAGGCGCGAAAGCUAGGGGAGCAAACGGG